This 862-nucleotide long non-coding RNA is filed under the name Medicago truncatula (barrel medic). RNAcentral describes it as "long non-coding RNA (MTRU_LNC008835)". Lineage: Eukaryota; Viridiplantae; Streptophyta; Magnoliopsida; Fabales; Fabaceae. The record is from RNAcentral.
AGCAAAAUAUCUGAAAAAAAAAAUAAAAAUAGGCUUAUACUUGAUGGAAGAAAACGUGGCAAAUAAAGAACUUCUAAAGCAACUAUUCCAAGGAAGUUUCGCAUCACCCAUGCGAAGCUUUUUCUUCGAUUGCGACUCCUGUUUGUUUUUCUAAUAUUUGAUGACUUUUCUCUUAGACACAUUACUUAGAGCAAAUUGCACCCACUUUUGACUAAAUAACAAACACACCCCCUACUUUAGUAUUAAAACAACCACUAACCACCCUUAUAUUCUAGAAAAUAGCGAAUGACCAUUGGCUAAACCUUUUUUGAGAAUGGGAUUUACAUGUGCAAUUGAUUUAGAAAUAGAACGAACUUACACAAAUUCUGAAUACAGAUUCAUGAAAUAGAAUGAACCUACACAAUCACAAUAAAUAGAAGAGAAGAGAAAGCUUAGAAGUGGAAGAAGAAAUGUUCAACAAUGAAGUGAAGUAGAAGAGCUCAUAACAAUGUGAGGGAAAGUGAGAGAGUUAACAGAGAUUUAAUGGUGUUAAGAUGGAAGGGAGGAGUUUGUUAAUUUGAUACUAAAAUAAGGGAGGUUAGUGUCUGGUUUGAAAUUAGAGUGGGUGUUUAUGUUAUUUAAGUCAACCUUAGGGGAGGUUAGUAUAAUUUACCCAAUUACUACUUAUUGGUAACACUUAUGUCUUUAUUUAAUUCUUUUUUUUUUUCGUUUAUGUUUUUAUCUAUCAAAACAUGCAAAUAGUUUAUCCUUUUUUUUUUCUUUCUAUUUUUUGUAAAAACGUUUUGUGUAUUAAAAAUGUUGAUGGGCCACUGACAAAUAAUUCUUAUGUGGAUUGAAAUUGAUAGUUAAGGUAAAAAAAUUG